GCUGGGCGUGGUGGCUCAUGCCUGUAAUCCCAGCACUUUGGGAGGCUGAGGCAGGAGGAUCACCUGAGGUCAGGAGUUCAAGACCAACCUGGCCAACAUGGUGAAACCCUGUCUCUA
Molecule: unclassified non-coding RNA, 117 nt
Organism: Papio anubis (olive baboon)
Lineage: Eukaryota; Metazoa; Chordata; Mammalia; Primates; Cercopithecidae
Rfam family: Metazoan signal recognition particle RNA
About the family: The signal recognition particle (SRP) is a universally conserved ribonucleoprotein. It is involved in the co-translational targeting of proteins to membranes. The eukaryotic SRP consists of a 300-nucleotide 7S RNA and six proteins: SRPs 72, 68, 54, 19, 14, and 9.
Source: Ensembl